Molecule: ribosomal RNA, 164 nt
Filed under: uncultured bacterium
Lineage: Bacteria
Description: partial 16S rRNA
Rfam family: Bacterial small subunit ribosomal RNA
Source: RNAcentral
UAGGGAAUCUUCCACAAUGGGCGAAAGCCUGAUGGAGCAACGCCGCGUGUGUGAUGAAGGGUUUCGGCUCGUAAAACACUGUUGUAAGAGAAGAAUGACAUUGAGAGUAACUGUUCAAUGUGUGACGGUAUCUUACCAGAAAGGAACGGCUAAAUACGUGCCGC